This 419-nucleotide ribosomal RNA is filed under the name uncultured bacterium. Its description in RNAcentral is "bacterial SSU rRNA". It matches the Rfam family "Bacterial small subunit ribosomal RNA", at positions 356 to 774 of the family's 1533-position model. The record is from RNAcentral.
AAGGAAUAUUGCUCAAUGGGAGAAAUCCUGAAGCAGCAACGCCGCGUGGAGGAUGAAGGGUCUAUGACUUGUAAACUCCUGUAAAGAAGGAAAAAAUUCCCAUUAGAUGGGAGAUGAUGGUACUUCUGGAGUAAGCCCCGGCUAACUACGUGCCAGCAGCCGCGGUAAUACGUAGGGGGCAAGCGUUGUCCGGAUUUACUGGGUGUAAAGGGUGCUCAGGCGGAUUUGUAAGUCAGAGGUGAAAUCUUACAGCUUAACUGUGAAACUGCCUUUGAUACUGCAAGCCUAGAGUAUGGAAGAGCGUGAUUGAAUAUCUGGUGUAGCAGUGAAAUGCGUAGAUAUCAGAUAGAACACCAAUGGCGAAGGCAGUCACUUGGUCCAUUACUGACGCUAAAGCACGAAAGCGUGGGUAGCAAACA